RNAcentral lists this ribosomal RNA (523 nucleotides) under uncultured bacterium. Its description in RNAcentral is "partial 16S ribosomal RNA". It matches the Rfam family "Bacterial small subunit ribosomal RNA", at positions 28 to 523 of the family's 1533-position model. The record is from RNAcentral.
GACGAACGCUGGCGGCGUGCCUAAUACAUGCAAGUCGAACGCUUUUUCUUUCACCGGAGCUUGCUCCAUCGAAAGAAAAAGAGUGGCGAACGGGUGAGUAACACGUGGGUAACCUGCCCAUCAGAAGGGGAUAACACUUGGAAACAGGUGCUAAUACCGUAUAACACUAUUUUCCGCAUGGAAGAAAGGUGAAAGGCGCUUUUGCGUCACUGAUGGAUGGACCAGCGGUGCAUUAGCUAGUUGGUGAGGUAACGGCUCACCAAGGCAACGAUGCAUAGCCGACCUGAGAGGGUGAUCGGCCACACUGGGACUGAGACACGGCCCAGACUCCUACGGGAGGCAGCAGUAGGGAAUCUUCGGCAAUGGACGAAAGUCUGACCGAGCAACGCCGCGUGAGUGAAGAAGGUUUUCGGAUCGUAAAACUCUGUUGUUAGAGAAGAACAAGGAUGAGAGUAGAACGUUCAUCCCUUGACGGUAUCUAACCAGAAAGCCACGGCUAACUACGUGCCAGCCGCCGCCGUAA